RNAcentral lists this long non-coding RNA (3601 nucleotides) under Marmota monax (woodchuck). The record is from RNAcentral. Lineage: Eukaryota; Metazoa; Chordata; Mammalia; Rodentia; Sciuridae.
UGAAUGUCCAGGAUGACCUCAUUGUGGUGGUUAAUUGGAAUGCUUAUGAAUUCCUUUCUGGUUUCAGGAGCAGAUUUGUGGAGAAGAACUGGAAAAUAUGAAGAACGAUCAAGAUUGUGCAGAGAAUGAAAAGGAAGUUGGACUACCCACGAGGCCUAGCUGGGCUGAGCUGGAAGGGAAGGAAGUUAAGAGGACAGUGGCGGUCCCUGGGCUGGUGGGGAAGCUGUGGCAGAAACACAUGCUGCCCAGCUCCUGACUCCUCCAGAGGCUUGGCUUGCUCCCCAGGAUCCAGGCCCAAGAGCCAUGUGGCUCUGCCUAGCCUCUUGUUCUUGAAAUAGUGGCCACAGGGCCUGCCUACCUCAGGCUUCCAGUGUGUGCCCAGUCCUGGAGACAGAGAAAGGGCUUCAUUAAGCAUGGAGCACUCUACAGAGUUGUGGAAAAUUUUUCCCAAUUGUUGGCAGUUCCAAAAGAUUUCAGAAGAUUACUGGUUAAACUAACAUGAUUUCUAUACCUCAGGGUAAAUUUGCAAGGCUGCACUGGAACCAUGUGAAGAUCUCCCUCCCUUGGUGGAAGUGAGCUCAGGGAAGGGCCAUGCUGUCCCCCCUCUGUACUAUAGAAAUCCUCUUCAGGUUCAGCUCUGUUGGGACCAUGAGAUCAUGGACACCAGAGGUUUCCAAGGGGACAGGUUCCUUUCCUGGGAGCCUUUGGUGACUUCAGAGCUCCCUGAGAGCAGGACCUGGCCAGGAUUUUACCUACCAAAGGCCUCAUGCCUAUCUCAGCCCAUAUAUAGGAGGACUUUUAGUGGGUUAUAAGUGGGUGUUCGCUAUCACCUAACUUAGAUGGGAAGCCACUGGGCACUAUUUGGGCUGAUGGCCUUUCUGACAUAUGGGUGGCUCCCAGUGUGAUAGUAAAAGUCACUAAAAGUAAUGGGCUGAUCCAUAUGUGACCUUAACUUCCCCCUUCUCAAAUAGCUCCAGAGCCUGCUUGAUGGCCUGUGCCUGGCCAUGCAGGGACACAGAGCCCAGCCACCAUCUGCCCCAGGCUGGUAAAGCCAGCUGAAUGUUUCCCACUGCUGCCUGCCUUUCAGGAUCCAGGAGGCUUCUGGGCCCUAGAGCCUGCUCUCUGGGAGCUGCUGGUAGAGAUUUCUCUGCCUUUGGGCCCUGCCAUUGCUGAUGUGCAAUGAGGUUUCCUAGGGAAAGCUGGCAGACCUUCCUGGUGAAACUGGGGGUUUCCCCCUUUGGCUGGCAGGUGGGAUCUGCAUAAGUUGCAGGCCUCUGCAGCUGAGAAACAGGUUCCAACUCUUAAUGGUGGCUGUCCCCUCCAGUGUCGCAGCAGACCACAGCCGCUCGCCACUGCCUUCUUCUUUCUGGGUUCUUGACUCCUGAUUCUGAAGAGUGAAAUCCACAGAUGAGGAUGAGGGAAUAUAAGAGUAGGAUUUAUUCAGGUGUGAAUAGAGACAGAACGUCUGCAGGACAAGUGGGGACCCAAGAGAGGUUGCUGCUAAUCUAGGGGUUUAUAGAGCACUUGGUUCAAGGCAAUUGGUCCAAAUUUGUGCUCAUCAGGUUUUGGAAAAGCACUGAUGCUAUUGGCCAAUCCAUGAGUCUGAACUCCAUUAAGAUCUGCCCCGAUUCCAUUUUCUCACCUAUUGCGUAUAAUCUCAACAUCCUAGGGAGUGGAUCGUGGAUGCUCAGGUGGUUCAGAGCUGGCACUGUGUGGAGCGACUGUCCACCCAGUUAGGCAGACCCACUGUGAGAUCCACAGGCUGGUGCACCCUGGCUUGCUGCACCUCAGGCCUGAGUUGGAAGAAGGGCUCUGGGCAACUCUGGCCAGUGCUCGCAGCCCACGCCCCUGCCCCACAGGCCAGAGCUCGGCAGCUCCACUGCUGCUCUCUGUGGGGAUUAGUGGGCUUGCUGUGUGGCUCAGCAGCCAGGGAGCCACAUCACUGAGGCAGACAGCCCACAUUCAGCCCACUUCUAGGUGAAGGCAGAUCCGAUCACAUCAUUGAGGGUCCCCCCCCCCCCAACCCCUUGGUGGCUUAUUGUGGCCUUUGAGAACCCAGGGGCCUGUCGUCAUGGGCCCAGCUUGUUGUACUCCUUGCCCUUUGUGUCCUGGUUGCCUAGGAUGGUGGAUCUCAGCUCUCCUUCUUUGGGGUCUGCUCACGUGCCACUCACUGCCUUGGACAUGCGUGUUCUCUCUCUCUCUCUCUCUCUCUCUCCACACACACACACACACACACACACACACACACACACGAGGUCAGUCAAGUUGAUUCCUACCCAUACAUCUGGUUUCAGUUCAGGCGUUCCUCCUGACCUCCUUCUCCUUUCCUUCUCAAGUGAUAGAACCAUGAACUGGUGCUUCUGCAACUUUUUUUUUUUUUUUUUUCAUCACAUCCCACUGUUGCUCCAAGAGCCUCCAUCAGGGUCAACCCUAGCCUUUCUGGUUGCCACUGUGUCCCUAGUGCCCAUAGAGCACAGCUGGCACAGUUCCUGGGCAGAGCCCUGUACAAUGGGCUUCUAUCUUCUUAGUGAUGUAAUCAAAGCCUUUCCUGGAGCCUCAAACCUUGGGGUGGUGAGGAGACCAGCAGUAGUCCCCAGUUCUAGAAGUGCACCUGUGGUUCUGAGUGGUCAAAGGACACAUGUGGUGGGUCCUCUGUUACUUAUAUUUUCAUCCAAGAAUCCAGCGGUCCAUUCAUCUGUCUGUCUAUAUGUCCAUCUAUCUAUCUAGCUACCCUCAUUCCCUCCCUUUCUCUACUCAUCUCCCCAACCAUAUAUCACCUAAUCUUUAUAUCUCCCCAUUGAUUCAUCUCUCCAUCCAUCUAUCCAUUCAUUUAGCUUCCACCCAUCCAGUCUCCACCCCCAUUCCCUCUUUCCUUCUAAUUAUUUCUCCAUUUAUCUACUCAUUCAUCCAUCCAUCUCUCUUUCUGUCCAUCUUUCCAUCCAUCCAUCCAUCCAUCCAUCCAUCCAUCCAUCCAUCCAUUCAUCCAUCCUGUCAUACAACGAAUGUGUGCUUUCUCAGGGAUAAGUUCUGUGCUGGACCCUGGGAAUAUAAGUGAAGCACAAUUACUGACCUGGGAAACUGUUCUCUCCAGAGGGGUUUCUUCUGGAGUGUCCACUGGAGUUUUAUCUCUCUUACACCAAUUACAUAGAGGGAAGGGUCCAAUUGAAUAGAAGUAGAGUUUAGAAUUCUAGACGGAGAAGUCAUGAGGCCCCACACCCUCAUUCUUUGCAUCUGGGUUCUCUGCAAAGAGGGCUAGACCACAGAAAUGGACUGGCAUCUGCAGCUGAAUGGUGCUCUGUGAUUCUGGAAUGUUCCCUUUAAAAUGAUGGGGGUGCUGUGAACAUUGUGCUGUUUGCAAUGAAUGGCUAGUGUUUUCUCUUUACGUGAAAAUGUUUGGAUAAAAUUAUCUCAGGGAUUUGAUGAAGUAAUUGUUCAAUAAAAAAAUCAUCUCAGGGAAGAAAACCUGAUGUGUUGAUGACUUCAUAUAAAGACAUGUAAAUUGAUCACAGAGUUAAGAAAUUCUGCUCCCCAGGUGGCAGAGUCAAUAUCGGUGCUGAGCCUCAGUGCAAGUCCCUUCUGCUCAGAAUGUCUAUAUGCUUAU